RNAcentral lists this ribosomal RNA (504 nucleotides) under uncultured bacterium. Its description in RNAcentral is "partial 16S ribosomal RNA". It matches the Rfam family "Bacterial small subunit ribosomal RNA", at positions 29 to 523 of the family's 1533-position model. The record is from RNAcentral.
AUUGAACGCUGGCGGCAGGCCUAACACAUGCAAGUCGAACGGUAGCACAGAGAGCUUGCUCUCGGGUGACGAGUGGCGGACGGGUGAGUAACGUCUGGGAAACUGCCCGAUGGAGGGGGAUAACUACUGGAAACGGUAGCUAAUACCGCAUAACGUCGCAAGACCAAAGUGGGGGACCUUCGGGCCUCACACCAUCGGAUGUGCCCAGAUGGGAUUAGCUAGUAGGUGGGGUAAUGGCUCACCUAGGCGACGAUCCCUAGCUGGUCUGAGAGGAUGACCAGCCACACUGGGACUGAGACACGGUCCAGACGCCUACGGGAGGCAGCAGUGGGGAAUAUUGCACAAUGGGCGCAAGCCUGAUGCAGCCAUGCCGCGUGUAUGAAGAAGGCCUUCGGGUUGUAAAGUACUUUCAGCGGGGAGGAAGGCGGUGAAGUUAAUAGCUUCACCGAUUGACGUUACCCGCAGAAGAAGCACCGGCUAACUCCGUGCCAGCAGCCGCAGUAA